GUAGGCAGUUUCGAAGCGUUUGUCCUUUUAGCGGCGCCGCAGCGAACGGAGCCACCACCUCGGGGACCCAUUCCUGUCCCCAAGGGACUCGAAGGGGACAGCUAAGACAAUGGGUACCCUAGCGUCCUGGGACUUUGCCUGUGCUCGAGCUCGCCUCUAGGGCCGCUGCCUCUCGGAGGUGCGGAGCGAUGCCCCCUACUGGGAAGCUUGCGCCUGGAGCAGGGCGCAGGUGGAGAAUGGCAAGAAGCGCUCUUGCAUUGUGGGCUUCCAGAGGUCCAGCUCUGCAUUUGGAGGAGAGAGAAGGGAGCAGCCACCGCCUGCCAAGACUGCGAGUGAUUCAUUCAACAUGGCAGUUCCCAUACUCAUCGCACAAGGCGUGGACGACACAAAGAGAUGGCUUGCCUGCAAGAGACCCAGCUGGUCCAGAGUCGGAGGCACAUUUCAUUUCUCUGGCCAGCUGGAGAGGCGGCCGGAGCAGACGAGGAGAUCGCCUCUAAUGUUCUAAAUGUCAAUAUGGUCCCUACUGGCUGACUCGCCAAGAUUUGAUCAGCAAAUUGGCCUGCGUGAUGUGUUCCCUGCAAUGCACGGUGUGUGUUUAAAUCUUUCAACAGUGUCAUGAAAGAAGCUGAAGAACAGUAAACAAUUCUCAGUGGAA
RNAcentral lists this long non-coding RNA (655 nucleotides) under Equus caballus (horse). RNAcentral describes it as "lncRNA (ENSECAG00000037308.2)". The record is from RNAcentral. Lineage: Eukaryota; Metazoa; Chordata; Mammalia; Perissodactyla; Equidae.